CCUACGGGUGGCAGCAGUGAGGAAUAUUGGUCAAUGGCCGAAAGUCUGAACCAGCCAUGCCGCGUGCAGGAUGACGGCUCUAUGAGUUGUAAACUUCUUUUGUCUGAGGGUAAACACCCCUACGUGUAAGUGCUUGAAAGUAUAAUACGAAUAAGCAUCGGCUAACUCCGUGCCAGCAGCCGCGGUAAUACGGAGGAUCCAAGCGUUAUCCGGAUUUGUUGGGUUUAAAGGGUGCGUAGGCGGGAGGACAAGUUAGAGGUGAAAUACCGGGGCUCAACACCGGAACUGCCGCUAAUACUGUUGAACUAGAGAGUAGGUGCGGUAGGCGGAAUGUAUGGUGUAGCGGUGAAAUGCUGAGAGAUCAUACAGAACACCGAUUGCGAAGGCAGCUUACCAAACUAUAUCUGACGCUGAGGCACGAAAGCGUGGGUAGCAAACAGGAUUAGAUACCCCUGUAGUC
This 460-nucleotide ribosomal RNA is filed under the name uncultured bacterium. Its description in RNAcentral is "partial 16S ribosomal RNA". It matches the Rfam family "Bacterial small subunit ribosomal RNA", at positions 338 to 795 of the family's 1533-position model. The record is from RNAcentral.